Molecule: ribosomal RNA, 254 nt
Filed under: uncultured bacterium
Lineage: Bacteria
Description: partial 16S ribosomal RNA
Rfam family: Bacterial small subunit ribosomal RNA
Source: RNAcentral
CACGUAGGGGGCGAGCGUUGUCCGGAAUCAUUGGGCGUAAAGAGCUCGUAGGCGGCUCAAUAAGUCGGGUGUGAAACCCCCAGGCUCAACCUGGGGACGCCACCCGAUACUGUUGUGGCUAGAGUCCAGUAGGGGAGUGUGGAAUUCCCGGUGUAGCGGUGAAAUGCGCAGAUAUCGGGAGGAACACCAGCGGCGAAGGCGGCACUCUGGGCUGGUACUGACGCUGAGGAGCGAAAGCGUGGGCAGCGAACAGG